GCCUCCGUUGUCUAAUGGUUAUGACGUCAGACUUCUAGCUUGCGUAAUGUAAAUUACCUACGGAAUCUGGAGGUUGCGGGUUCGAAUCCCGCCGGAGGUU
Lentinula aff. lateritia is the source of this 100-nucleotide non-coding RNA. Lineage: Eukaryota; Fungi; Basidiomycota; Agaricomycetes; Agaricales; Omphalotaceae. The record is from the annotation of a GenBank genome assembly.